UGCCAGACUCCUACGGGAGGCAGCAGUGGGGAAUAUUGCACAAUGGGGGAAACCCUGAUGCAGCGACGCCGCGUGAGCGAUGAAGUAUUUCGGUAUGUAAAGCUCUAUCAGCAGGGAAGAAGAUGACGGUACCUGACUAAGAAGCCCCGGCUAACUACGUGCCAGCAGCCGCGGUAAUACGUAGGGGGCAAGCGUUAUCCGGAUUUACUGGGUGUAAAGGGAGCGUAGACGGCGGUGCAAGCCAGAUGUGAAAGCCCGGGGCUCAACCCCGGGACUGCAUUUGGAACUGUAUGGCUGGAGUGUCGGAGAGGCAGGCGGAAUUCCUGGUGUAGCGGUGAAAUGCGUAGAUAUCAGGAGGAACACCAGUGGCGAAGGCGGCUUACUGGACUGUAACUGACGUUGAGGCUCGAAAGCGUGGGGAGCAAACAGGAUUAGAUACCCCGGUAAG
This 448-nucleotide ribosomal RNA is filed under the name uncultured bacterium. RNAcentral's name for it is "bacterial SSU rRNA". It matches the Rfam family "Bacterial small subunit ribosomal RNA", at positions 329 to 793 of the family's 1533-position model. The record is from RNAcentral.